This 430-nucleotide long non-coding RNA is filed under the name Linum usitatissimum (flax). RNAcentral's name for it is "long non-coding RNA (LUSI_LNC006278)". The record is from RNAcentral. Lineage: Eukaryota; Viridiplantae; Streptophyta; Magnoliopsida; Malpighiales; Linaceae.
UCUUUUUGACGUCAUGGGAGAAGAGAGGAGACGGAGGCGACGACCAUCGCCGCUGAAAAAAGGAAGGGGCUGAGAGAAUAGAGGAGGUAGGAAAGUAGGAGAGGAGGAAGAGGAGAAGAGGAAAAAAAAGAAAAAAGAGAAAAAAAAGAGGGAAAAGGAGAGGGGCAGUGAUGUCAUCCCUGUCACUGCCGACGGAAGAGAGGAGUCAGAAAUGAAGGAGCGGAAUAAGAGGAGGAAGAGAAGAGGAGAAGAAGAAGAAAAAAAAGAAGAAAAAAGAGAAAAAAGGGAGAGGGGUUGCCGCUGUCACUGUCGACGGAGAAGAGGAGAGGGGGAGAAAGAGAAGAGGAGGAGCUGAGGAGGACGAGGAGAAGAAAAAAAGGAGAAGAAAAGAAAAAAAGAAGGGAGAGAGUCGUAGCGGAUUAGGGGUGAC